GACGAACGCUGGCGGCGUGCUUAACACAUGCAAGUCGAGCGGUAAGGCCCUUUCGGGGGUACGACGAGCGGCGAACGGGUGAGUAACACGUGGGUGACCUGCCCUCCAGCUCUGGGAGUAAGCCUGGGAAACCGGGUACUAAUACCGGAUAUGACUCCAUGACGCAUGUUGUGGGGUGGAAAGCCUUGUGCGGCUGAGGAUGGGCCCGCGGCCUAUCAGCUUGUUGGUGGGGUGAUGGCCUACCAAGGCGACGACGGGUAGCCGGCCUGAGAGGGCGACCGGCCACACUGGGACUGAGACACGGCCCAGACUCCUACGGGAGGCAGCAGUGGGGAAUCUUGCGCAAUGGGCGAAAGCCUGACGCAGCGACGCCGCGUGAGGGAUGACGGCCUGG
RNAcentral lists this ribosomal RNA (394 nucleotides) under uncultured bacterium. RNAcentral describes it as "bacterial SSU rRNA". It matches the Rfam family "Bacterial small subunit ribosomal RNA", at positions 28 to 419 of the family's 1533-position model. The record is from RNAcentral.